Molecule: ribosomal RNA, 375 nt
Filed under: uncultured bacterium
Lineage: Bacteria
Description: bacterial SSU rRNA
Rfam family: Bacterial small subunit ribosomal RNA
Source: RNAcentral
AUUGAACGCUGGCGGCAGGCUUAACACAUGCAAGUCGAACGGUAACAGAGAAGUGCUUGCACUUUUGCUGACGAGUGGCGGACGGGUGAGUAAUGCUUGGGAAUUUACCUUGUUGUGGGGGACAACAGUUGGAAAACGACUGCUAAUACCGCAUAAUGUCUUUGGACCAAAGGUGGCCUCUAUUUAUAUGCUAUCGCGACAAGAUGAGCCCAAGUUGGGAUUAGCUAGUUGGUAAGGUAAUGGCUUACCAAGGCGACGAUCCCUAGCUGGUCUUAGAGGAUGACCAGCCACACUGGAACUGAGACACGGUCCAGACUCCUACGGGAGGCAGCCAGUGGGGAAUAUUGCACAAUGGGGGAAACCCUGAUGCAGCCA